AGAGUUUGAUCAUGGCUCAGGAUGAACGCUAGCUACAGGCUUAACACAUGCAAGUCGAGGGGCAGCAUGUUGGUUGCUUGCAACCAACGAUGGCGACCGGCGCACGGGUGAGUAACGCGUAUCUAACCUACCCUUGUCCAUCGGAUAACCCGUCGAAAGGCGGCCUAACACGAUAUGCGGUUCACAGCAGGCAUCUAACGUGAACGAAAUGUAAAGGAGAAGGAUGGGGAUGCGUCUGAUUAGCUUGUUGGCGGGGUAACGGCCACCAAGGCUACGAUCAGUAGGGGUUCUGAGAGGAAGGUCCCCACAUUGGAACUGAGACACGGUCCAAACUCCUACGUGAGGCA
This 347-nucleotide ribosomal RNA is filed under the name uncultured bacterium. RNAcentral's name for it is "bacterial SSU rRNA". It matches the Rfam family "Bacterial small subunit ribosomal RNA", at positions 8 to 350 of the family's 1533-position model. The record is from RNAcentral.